This is a long non-coding RNA of Myiozetetes cayanensis, 257 nucleotides long. RefSeq lists it as uncharacterized. The transcript is spliced from 3 exons. The record is from RefSeq and is a predicted model, not a curated record. Lineage: Eukaryota; Metazoa; Chordata; Aves; Passeriformes; Tyrannidae.
UCUCAAACGUCUUCCUCCCUACCAACUGCAUUUCGGCUCACCAGCUCUAUUCCUGAACUGCAGAUUUUUCAGUUAAGCUUUCUACAUUCCUGCUGAGAUGAGCUGCAAAUCCCUCCUGUUGAAGAGCAUUGACACCCAGAUUUCGCAAGAGCUGUGAGUAAUACUAGACAUAGACCUGUUCUGGGAUCAUGAAAAAAAAGGGCCAAAAGUACACUCUAUAGCUAUCGAAUAAAAGAAUUCAAGAACAAAGAUGGAAC